This 254-nucleotide ribosomal RNA is filed under the name uncultured bacterium. RNAcentral describes it as "partial 16S ribosomal RNA". It matches the Rfam family "Bacterial small subunit ribosomal RNA", at positions 524 to 776 of the family's 1533-position model. The record is from RNAcentral.
UACGGGGGGGGCAAGCGUUGUUCGGAAUUACUGGGCGUAAAGGGCUCGUAGGCGGCCAACUAAGUCAGACGUGAAAUCCCUCGGCUUAACCGGGGAACUGCGUCUGAUACUGGAUGGCUUGAGUUUGGGAGAGGGAUGCGGAAUUCCAGGUGUAGCGGUGAAAUGCGUAGAUAUCUGGAGGAACACCGGUGGCGAAGGCGGCAUCCUGGACCAACACUGACGCUGAGUGAGCGAAAGCCAAGGGAGCAAACGGG